Drosophila melanogaster (fruit fly) is the source of this 22-nucleotide non-coding RNA. Lineage: Eukaryota; Metazoa; Arthropoda; Insecta; Diptera; Drosophilidae. The record is from Ensembl.
CUAAGGAAAUAGUAGCCGUGAU